CUCUUGACUCAACCCGCCAGCCACUCGCAAUUCACCGCCAACUGCCGGGGGACCCACAGCUUGGUACGCCUGCUGCUGCUGCGGUGGCUGCAUAACCCCACCUCCUGGCGCAGUAUAGUACACCUGCCUCCCCGUCACGCUAUCGUACGCCAUCUGAGUAUACGGCGACGCCUCGGCGUACGUCGCCACAUAUUUUGGGGGCUGCGGAGGCAGAGUACUUGGCUGAGGCUGCGGAGGCAGAGUACUUGGCUGCGGCUGCGGUGGCAGAGUACUUUGCUGCUGCUGCUGCUGCUGCUGCUGUGGUACCACAUUGUACACCGGCUGAUCCCGGUAAACUUCAGACCCCAUCCGCGGCUGCAUGUGGUAGUAUCCUUGACCGGGCGGGCCGGUCACCGGUCGUACCAUUGGCGGCGGCGCGUGAUACAUAGCGCCGCCUCCGGUGGUGGCUGUGAUCAUGUACAUCGGCUGUUCAGGUGCGGCCGUCCCUGGAAACCCCACACUGGGGACCUGCUUCUCCGCCCAGUACCCCGGCGGCGGCGGCGCCGUCACCGGAGGCGCCUUCUCUGGAAGUUUCUGUACGUAAUAAUCUCCGGCACCGCCGCCGUACCCUCCGACGAGAUUCUCGUCAACCUGUCUCCGAUACAUGGCCUGCUGAUGAUCUUGCUCUGCAAUUUGUAGCCUCUGCAAAUGCCUCUGGAACUCCACCGGAUCCGACCCGAUCACCCGGUCACCGUGACUCGACCUCACCUGGAAUUCUGGUGGCGGCGCCACGUGUUCCGGUACCGCAGGCACCGCGGGGGGAGGAGGCGGCACGACGGCAGCGACGCCUCCCUUUUCCAAACCGAAGAGAAAGUCGACGUUAUUUUGGACAGGAGGCUUGGAAUUCGAGUCGGGUCCCUGGGCGGGACUGGAAUUUAGAGCUUCAACGAACCGAUCCCUAUCGGAUCUUCCACCAUCCGACCCGAAUCCGCCGUCGGGGCUGGCGUUAAAGAGGAACAAUCUCAUGCGGACGGGCCUAGCGGAAGUCCGGUAGACCCGAUCGUACUCGUGCAUCAUGUGCUCCAAGUCGUCGUCGUUGGUGACAGAGAUCAGGGCGUCGAGGUCUUCGCCGGGGAGCUGGUACUUGAACGACACGUCGGUUUCGGAGAGGGAGGAGAGCUUGGAGACGAGAGCGGCGAACUUGGUGCUGCGAUCAACGGCGAGGAUCUUAGUCUCACCGCCAACGUAGCAGAGCUGGUUGUCGUGCGGGCGGGGGAGGAUCUUGCCGCCAUAGC
Molecule: long non-coding RNA, 1274 nt
Filed under: Prunus persica (peach)
Lineage: Eukaryota; Viridiplantae; Streptophyta; Magnoliopsida; Rosales; Rosaceae
Description: long non-coding RNA (PPER_LNC008245)
Source: RNAcentral